CCAAGAAAGCAAGCCCAGCAACAGCAGGCCCCAACCACUGGCAGCCCAAGGGUAGCCCAACACCCAGAAUGCUACCAGAUCCUGGGAGCCCAAGGCCAACCAGAAACACUCGCCUCCGAGCAGAGCUCAGGGCCACUGAGGAACAUCCCAGUCCCUUUGGAAUCCCCUACUCCAAAUUGUCCCAAUCGAAGCACCUAAAGGCCAGGGCAGGUGGCAGCCAGUGGGUCCCAUCCGACUCUAAGCGCAGGGCCCGAGACCACAAGGAACCCUAGCAGCCAAGAUGGACCCCAACCCCGCUCCAGGGGGCAGCAGGUGGGGGCGGGCAAUGCUGGUGCUCACCUGGUCAGUGCACCAGUACCAGGUGGCCAUGAUGGUCAGACCGAAGGUCAUCCCAGUCCAUGGGAGGUCUCCUGUGGAGGGGUCCCGGAACAUAUGCAUGGCGUCUGCUCGAGGCAGGUGGCAGGUGGUGUUGGGGAUGGUCCUGGACGGGGUGGCCUGGGCAUAUGCCGCCUCCAGCUGCUCAUAGCCACCAAUCUGGUUGAAAGCUGGAGGGUUGGGUACAGGGUUGGUUUUGGGUGGCCCUGACUCCCAGGCUCCUCCCAUCCUCACCUCACAGAUAACUUCAUGCAUCAAACUGGAACCCCUACCUCAUCUUUCCUGCUCCAGGGAGGGUUGAGGUUAUAAAAAAGAAAGAAAGUGAAAUAGAGUAUUUUAUUUGUAUUUAAAAUAACUAUUAAAUGAGCAUUUUGCACAUGGGCCCACAGUGUCCUGUUGGCCAGCAGGAUUCAUGGCUAGUCUCUGGAAGCCUGCUGGCCUCGGGUAUGGGGUUCUCUGCCAGUCUUUGGACUGGCCCUUCAAGGAGGUAGAAGUGGUUUUCUUGUGUUUGAGCAUUGAAUCCAUGACCUGGACUUCUGAAGGCUGUGACUUCACUAUCCUCACGUUGGCAUUCACGAGGCAUUGUGGUCCCAUCCUUCCAAGACACAGGAAGGAAGGCAGAGGCUCCUCAGAGCCUUACGGCAGGCCUAGCAGGUAGGGCUCAGACCAGGGGUCUUUCCUCUGAGUCCAGAACGUGUCCUAUCUACCUCAGGGUUGGGUGGUGCGAGGCCCAGCCCUGGCCUGGCUGUGUCUGUAGUCAUUGCCCUCUCAUCCAGCCUGUGUCUGACCAUUAGGUCCCUUCAUCUCUAGUAGGCCCUAGACACACAGGAGUUGCUACCCAGG
RNAcentral lists this long non-coding RNA (1218 nucleotides) under Rattus norvegicus (Norway rat). Its description in RNAcentral is "long non-coding RNA NONRATT004368". Lineage: Eukaryota; Metazoa; Chordata; Mammalia; Rodentia; Muridae. The record is from RNAcentral.